CUUAAGGUGGAUCCUCAGUUUUUUUGUUUAUAGAUUUCUCCGCCCAGGGGACGCCACCGUCGAUGUCCGUUUUUCGUCAAAUUUCUGCAGUCAAAGCUGAAUUUUGAAGAAUCUGAGCUUUUAUUUCAAAAUCGGAAAAUGUCACUCUGUAGAUUAGAGUAUUGCGAAUAUUUUGAGCCUUUGAUCAUCAAAAUGCAAGGUGUUGUGGUUGAGAAAGUACUGUUUCCCCACAAGAAAUCUCGGCCCUCGGCCGACGAUCCUCUCAGUUGACGGUAAAUUUAAAGAAUUAGAACACUUAAUUUCAAAAUCCAAGGAUGUCAGUCUGAAGAUUAGACUCUCUUCUUUCAUUCAAGCCCAAAAACAUGCAAUUCUAUCGCGAAUCGACGGAGAAAGUACUGUAUCCGACCGGCCGGACAACAAGCUUUUUCAUUCGGUUGGUCAUUUAAAAUUAAUUGCCCGCCGCAGCAACAAACAACAGGUUUGUUGACAUUUUAGGUUAUGUGUCCGUUCUUCAUCAUAGUCCAAAGCUCACAAGCUCGCACGGUGAAUUUCAAGUUUAUUGCAAUCAUUUUGAUCGUGUCAUAUGAACUAAAAGAAGGAACAAGUGUGCUAGUAUUCUGUGUUUAGUGUGAUAAUUUUUAUUUCGCCUUCAAUUUAUCUUCUGGCGAAUCGUUCAGUGCCGUACCAAAAUUGGUUCUUGCUGGGUUGCGGAGCUCUCUUUCAUCAAGGUCCCACAUUUUACCUUAACACUGGUUACUGGUGUCUAUACCUUGCCGGACACACCAAUCAUAUUUGCCGUAUCUCACUCCAGGUGACCAUUGCCUGAGACCAUCAAACUCAGAUCACCUGGCCGGGAAUCGAACCCGGGACCUCUUGGUCAUAGGGCCAGUGCUACAACCACUACACCACAGGAGGCCGACAAUGAUUAGGAAUAAUGGUGAGCUUGUAUAAAUUUGUCGUUGUUGGAAUUUAAGGUCACAGUAAUUAAGUAAUCUGACUAACUACUUAAUCUCCAUUUCAAGAAAAGUGCACAAUUUUGUUAAAGUAACAGUAAUUUUGGAACUGUAGGUGAGGGGAUUCAAGUGUUCAAGUUUCAGUGACAAGUCCUUUCAUUACCGAA
This is a non-coding RNA of Bemisia tabaci, 1120 nucleotides long. The record is from RefSeq and is a predicted model, not a curated record. NCBI's taxonomy places the organism in Eukaryota, Metazoa, Arthropoda, Insecta, Hemiptera, Aleyrodidae.